This 344-nucleotide unclassified non-coding RNA is filed under the name soil metagenome. RNAcentral describes it as "partial contains 5.8S ribosomal RNA, internal transcribed spacer 2, and large subunit ribosomal RNA". The stretch from base 1 to 119 matches the Rfam family "5.8S ribosomal RNA", at positions 35 to 154 of the family's 154-position model. The record is from RNAcentral.
GAUGAAGAACGCAGCGAAAUGCGAUACGUAAUGUGAAUUGCAAAUUCAGUGAAUCAUCGAGUCUUUGAACGCACAUUGCGCCCCCUGGUAUUCCGGGGGGCAUGCCUGUCCGAGCGUCAAUGCUGCCCUCAAGCACGGCUUGUGUGUUGGGCCCCGUCCUCCGAUCCCGGGGGACGGGCCCGAAAGGCAGCGGCGGCACCGCGUCCGGUCCUCGAGCGUAUGGGGCUUUGUCACCCGCUCUGUAGGCCCGGCCGGCGCUUGCCGAUCAACCCAAAUUUUUAUCCAGGUUGACCUCGGAUCAGGUAGGGAUACCCGCUGAACUUAAGCAUAUCAAUAAGCGGAGA